Molecule: long non-coding RNA, 3757 nt
Filed under: Pelobates cultripes (western spadefoot toad)
Lineage: Eukaryota; Metazoa; Chordata; Amphibia; Anura; Pelobatidae
Source: RNAcentral
GUUUCAUAGUUGCAGUGAGGUGAGUGAGAUUGACCUGUGAGUGGCAUUUAGAGGCAGCGGUGUCUAUAACGGGUUAAUAUUUGGUUAUAUUCGUUCAGAGUGUCUGUCAUCUUAAAUAAAUUAUCAUAAAAUCAUGUUAUAAGGGAUAAUUCUUUCACAGAAUGUUUGUCAUUCUCACACAGAAUCCGAACAUGGAAUCUUUCAUUUCAGCUUGGUUAGUUGAUCGUGUCUGUAAUGUAAUAAUAAUUCUUUAUGAGCAGGCUGCAAUGCGACAUCUCGGUUAUGCUCUGCCAGGCUUACCAACAUUCCAGCACGAGAUUUAUUUCAUACACUGGCAGCAUGCUAUGUGUGUGUCCUGAGAGGGGUCAAGUGUGAAGUUACCUUUGCUUCAUUUUACAACACUGACAGGUUUUGCGUCACUGAACUGAAUAGUGUGAUAUGGAAAGGGAAAUUGCACAUUUUAGCUGAGCUAUGAAAAAAACGGUGAGAGAAUGUUCCAAGUUUGGCUAUUUAGGCAUAAAAUUAACAAUUUAUUUGUCAACUCUUACAAUUCCCAGCUGACGGUCACAUGAACCCAGUUAUUGGCCAGACAAUAAUUAAAUUAUUACUAUUUAUACAUAUUAUUUUUUUUAUUUUUUUUUGUCUGCAGGCCCAUCCCCGAUCUCCAUUAUUCCAUUUUUAUUUUUCACUUACAUAGUUAAGAGAACUGUCCUCAUUCCAGCUAGGGCAAGCACAGCUUCCUUAAUAUUUUUGCAAAUGUAUUUGAAGUUAUUUUGCCCAUUUAUAAGUGCCACUGCAUUACCACUUGGUAAUUAUUUAAACUUCCCUGAUAGAUGGAGGAAUUGUGUGCACUCCGCCGCAUACACUCCUCUCUCCCCACUAUCCGCUCAACACCCAAAACACUGUAUCAUCUCUAGGAGCACAUUGGGCCAACAGGAGCAACACGGGAAAGGUGACCGUACAGGGGAAAUGCAUUCCACCCCCGGCCACAAAUGAAUGGGAAUGGUAAGAGUAGAGAUGAACGUGGAUAAGCAUUGUCAUAAAGACAUAGAACUGAAAUGCUAUGGGCCCUAACAUUGUCUGUGAGCAUUACAAACAAGUGUAUGGGAGUACAAAACCCAUUAUUGCUGUAUAUUCACUAUAUGUUUGUCACGGAGUGCACUUACAGGCUUUUUGUCUUAUUGUAAGAAUUGUCAGGAACUAAAAAUUUAAAGGGACAAUAUAGUCACCAGAUCAACCACAGAUUAAUGUAGUUGUUAUGGGGUCUAUAGCUUUUCCAUGCAGACUUUUUAAUGUAAACACUGCCUUUUUUAAUGCCUAGUUACACCUCUAGUGGCAAUCGCUCAGACCGCUUAUAUAUAGUGCUUUCUGGUGGUGAUCAGUGUCUACGCUCUGCAUGGAGAUGCUGAAUGCUUCCAAUAGAGAUGCAUUGAUUUAAUGCAUCUCUAUGAGAAGAUGCUGAUUGGCACAGCUCAGCGUUUUGCCAUGAAUGCGCAAUGUCCUUCCAUUGCUUUCCUGUGGGAAAGUAUUGCAUUGGCUGAGCUUAUCAAAUUUGAUGAUCUCCGCCACAGGGCGAGACCAGAGCGAAGCUGGACAAAAGGUGAGUUUAAACAUCUUUUUAAAGCAAAGAGAGGGGGGCUUGGUACCUAAACUUUCAUUUUACCACUGUAGGGUCAGGAAUACGUUUGUGUUUCUGACACUAUAAUGUUCCAUUAAAGCCAAAAUAUCAGAACUGAAAGCAUAGCUAACUCGGACAAUAUUUCUUAUUCAGCUGUUUUGGCAUUAAAACUGAAAUUUACUUUGAAUUCCCAAAUUUUCUCACUAUAAUAAAUGAUGAUCUAUUUUGCAAUAUUGUAAGCGAAUUUCUCUCACAAUGUGAAGAUUUUAAUAUGGAAUAAUUUUCUACCGUUUGCUGUCAGCUACUCUAUCACAGUUAUUUACUAAGCUGAGAAUUGAAGUGAAUUUAAAAAUUAAGGCCAUAGUUGCCGAACUGAAAGCAUAACUGGUGUAUAGAAUUUCUCCAGUUUGGCUAUUUUGACCUAACAUUUGAAAUUCACUUUGAAUUCUCACUUUAGUGAAUAAGGCUGUCUGUCUCGGAUGGCGUUCUGACUCUUCGCUACUCUGCUGUCGGAGUGACUUUCUGUCUCUCAGCAAAUAGCCAUAGGGUAAGAGCCAGGCUUGCCUGCUUUUAUCAACAGUGCUACCUGAGUACCAGGGAACCUUUUUACAGUCAAUAUGUUUUCUGGAUGGAUUUCUUAUUAUCUGCUCUGCUGUCUGCAGUAAGUUUAGUCGGUCAAUACAGCUAAGCUGGAGUUUGCAGUCCCUGUAGAAUUACAUUCUACCUUGCCAAGCAAGGCUGCAAUAUGCAUCCUUUAUUCCAUUUUCAAUAAUCUAAUUGUAUUUGGUUUUAUUUCUUAUAUCCUUAUCUUAUAUCCUUUUCUUAUCUCUUCAGCAUCCCAUUUUAUUCUCAAAUUAUAAGUUGUGUGUGUGCAUUCAACCUUGUAUUUACUGUUAAUUUCUGGUUGAAAGAUUGUAGCCAUAGAGCAUCAUUGCUGCCGAUAAGGGGGUACAACUGGUAUUCCAUUAAGAGGCUGGCAUUGCUAUGGAGUCUGAUUGGCAUCCUGUAACUCUAUGUGUUCAGGUUGGGGAAAAAUAUCUCAGAUUUAAAGAUUCGCAGGAAAUCAGAUCAAACCAUUGCAUUGAAUGCUAAAAAUAUAUGUGUAGCUCCUACCUCUGCUGGAACUGGACAUUCAUGGAAUCAGAAAGGAGGCUCCUACUCCACAGCAGCAAUACAAAUAUAUAAGUAUAUAAUAUCUCCCUUAAUUUGACAUUAUUGCAGGAAGGCAGUGGAUGGACCUCUCUACAGUUUGCUAUGGCCAACAUUCUCCUUCUUGAGCACAAAGAUUAAUUUUUAAUCCAAAACAUUGCCUGGUACCCACAGGGGCGAGUUUCUGUGCGUGUCUCCCAACAGUCCCAGGUUCAGUAGGACAGUCCUGGUUUUGGGUUCUACUCUCGCUAUCUUGGGAACUGCCCCGAGCAAGUUCAAGCCAAGCACAUCAUAAGGUUUGCUCGUAGGGUAUUCAGCCCAUGCUCCGAGCUCUUUAGAAGAGCUGUGUGCAUUUGCAACCCUUAGUAGAACUGGUCAGAGUAUCUUCUAGUCAGUCUGGCUUGCCCCUCAUUUUGAUUAUCACUGCUUCAUUUGGCUGAUACAAAAUAGAUUUAAGACAAAUUGUGAGACACAUUCGGCAUAUAUUAUUUUGUACUUAUCAUUUGUGAAUGGCAGGGGCUGAUAAGUUUGUAGUGUUGCUUAUAUGUGAUGGGGCGUAUAUACAUUUUUAAUUAAUAAAGUCUGUGGUGACAUCAAUGUGGAGUCUGCAUAAACAUACACUUCUAUGUAUGUGUCCAUUACUUAAAGAUGGGUAACCGCUAUUAUAGACUUUCUUGGAGCACAUUUAAUGUAACCACACAUUUUUACUUAUCACAAUUUCCUUAAUUAUAUUGUAUUUUUAUUAUGUUUGAUUUCUUAAUUUGCAGAGAUGGCAGCUUUAAUUUGGAGGUGCUCAUUUACCAGAGCAAAAGCUAGAUGGCUCCACCAAAGGUGUUUAUCCCUUUAUAACAGCAGCCAUGGUUUUGAUGAGACAAAAAUUAAGGAGAAACUUGCACAAUUCUCAGGGGGCUCUAUAGACCUCCAUAAAGGUGAAAAUGGUAUUGCAGAACUCUGUAUAAAUAAUCCAAGUCGAAUGAAUGCGUUCACAGG